RNAcentral lists this ribosomal RNA (577 nucleotides) under uncultured bacterium. RNAcentral describes it as "partial 16S ribosomal RNA". It matches the Rfam family "Bacterial small subunit ribosomal RNA", at positions 355 to 932 of the family's 1533-position model. The record is from RNAcentral.
UGGGGAAUUUUGGACAAUGGGCGAAAGCCUGAUCCAGCAAUGCCGCGUGUGUGAAGAAGGCCUUCGGGUUGUAAAGCACUUUUGUCCGGAAAGAAAUCCUUGGCUCUAAUACAGUCGGGGGAUGACGGUACCGGAAGAAUAAGCACCGGCUAACUACGUGCCAGCAGCCGCGGUAAUACGUAGGGUGCAAGCGUUAAUCGGAAUUACUGGGCGUAAAGCGUGCGCAGGCGGUUUGCUAAGACCGAUGUGAAAUCCCCGGGCUCAACCUGGGAACUGCAUUGGUGACUGGCAGGCUAGAGUAUGGCAGAGGGGGGUAGAAUUCCACGUGUAGCAGUGAAAUGCGUAGAGAUGUGGAGGAAUACCGAUGGCGAAGGCAGCCCCCUGGGCCAAUACUGACGCUCAUGCACGAAAGCGUGGGGAGCAAACAGGAUUAGAUACCCUGGUAGUCCACGCCCUAAACGAUGUCAACUAGUUGUUGGGGGUUCAUUUCCUUAGUAACGUAGCUAACGCGUGAAGUUGACCGCCUGGGGAGUACGGUCGCAAGAUUAAACUCAAUGAAUUGACGGGGUCAUAGCUG